Molecule: ribosomal RNA, 497 nt
Filed under: uncultured bacterium
Lineage: Bacteria
Description: partial 16S ribosomal RNA
Rfam family: Bacterial small subunit ribosomal RNA
Source: RNAcentral
GAUGAACGCUGGCGGCGUGCCUAAUACAUGCAAGUCGAGCGAACAGACGAGGAGCUUGCUCCUCUGACGUUAGCGGCGGACGGGUGAGUAACACGUGGAUAACCUACCUAUAAGACUGGGAUAACUUCGGGAAACCGGAGCUAAUACCGGAUAAUAUAUUGAACCGCAUGGUUCAAUAGUGAAAGACGGUUUUGCUGUCACUUAUAGAUGGAUCCGCGCCGCAUUAGCUAGUUGGUAAGGUAACGGCUUACCAAGGCAACGAUGCGUAGCCGACCUGAGAGGGUGAUCGGCCACACUGGAACUGAGACACGGUCCAGACUCCUACGGGAGGCAGCAGUAGGGAAUCUUCCGCAAAGGGCGAAAGCCUGACGGAGCAACGUCGCGUGAGUGAUGAAGGUCUUCGGAUCGUAAAACUCUGUUAUUAGGGAAGAACAAAUGUGUAAGUAACUAUGCACGUCUUGACGGUACCUAAUCAGAAAGCCACGGCUAACUACGUG